RNAcentral lists this ribosomal RNA (426 nucleotides) under uncultured Eubacteriales bacterium. Its description in RNAcentral is "bacterial SSU rRNA". It matches the Rfam family "Bacterial small subunit ribosomal RNA", at positions 476 to 901 of the family's 1533-position model. Lineage: Bacteria; Bacillati; Bacillota; Clostridia; Eubacteriales. The record is from RNAcentral.
UACCCGUGGAGGAAGCCACGGCUAACUACGUGCCAGCAGCCGCGGUAAUACGUAGGUGGCAAGCGUUGUCCGGAAUUACUGGGUGUAAAGGGAGCGUAGGCGGGAUGUUAAGUUGGAUGUGUAAUACCGGGGCUCAACCCCGGGGCUGCAUCCAAAACUGACAUUCUUGAGUGAGGUAGAGGCAGGCGGAAUUCCUAGUGUAGCGGUGAAAUGCGUAGAUAUUAGGAGGAACACCAGUGGCGAAGGCGGCCUGCUGGGCCUUAACUGACGCUGAGGCUCGAAAGCGUGGGGAGCAAACAGGAUUAGAUACCCUGGUAGUCCACGCUGUAAACGAUGAUUACUAGGUGUGGGGGGUCUGACCCCUUCCGUGCCGGAGUUAACACAAUAAGUAAUCCACCUGGGGAGUACGGCCGCAAGGCUGAAACU